This is a small nuclear RNA of Suncus etruscus (white-toothed pygmy shrew), 163 nucleotides long. RefSeq annotates it as U1 spliceosomal RNA. Lineage: Eukaryota; Metazoa; Chordata; Mammalia; Eulipotyphla; Soricidae. The transcript has a single exon. The record is from RefSeq and is a predicted model, not a curated record.
AUACUCCCCUGGCAGGGGAGAUACCAUGAUUAUGAACAUAGUUUUCCCAGGGCAGCAUUUUUCUAUUGCAUUCUGAAUAUGUUCACUCCUACAAUUUCCCCCAAGUGUGGGAAACUACUGCGUAAUUUGUGUUGGUAGGGGACUGUGCUCAUGCUGUCCCUGA